RNAcentral lists this unclassified non-coding RNA (390 nucleotides) under soil metagenome. RNAcentral describes it as "partial contains 5.8S ribosomal RNA, internal transcribed spacer 2, and large subunit ribosomal RNA". The stretch from base 1 to 122 matches the Rfam family "5.8S ribosomal RNA", at positions 35 to 154 of the family's 154-position model. The record is from RNAcentral.
GAUGAAGAACGUAGCAAACUGCGAUACUUGGUGUGAAUUGCAGAAUCCCGUGAACCAUCGAGUUUUUGAACGCAAGUUGCGCCCGAAGCCAUUCGGCCGAGGGCACGUCUGCCUGGGUGUCACGCAUCGUUGCCCCCCCAAACUCCGGUUCGGGCGGGGCGGAAGUUGGCCUCCCGUGCGUGCCUGCGCGCGCGGUUAGCCCAAAAGCGAGUCCUCGGCGACGAGCGCCACGACAAUCGGUGGUUUUUUUACCCUCGUUCCUCGUCGUGCGUGUCCCGUCGCCCGAACGCGCUCUUGUGACCCUCACGCGUCGCCUCGGCGGCGCUCCCAACGCGACCCCAGGUCAGGCGGGACUACCCGCUGAGUUUAAGCAUAUCAAUAAGCGGAGGA